RNAcentral lists this non-coding RNA (85 nucleotides) under Xanthomonas arboricola pv. juglandis. The record is from RNAcentral. Lineage: Bacteria; Pseudomonadati; Pseudomonadota; Gammaproteobacteria; Lysobacterales; Lysobacteraceae.
GCCUAUGGCGGCUGUGCGCGGGCAGGCGUAAGUCUGACCGGCUGUUUCGUGUCCGGGUCUCACCCCGCGCGCAGUUGCCACCCUG